This 481-nucleotide ribosomal RNA is filed under the name uncultured bacterium. RNAcentral's name for it is "partial 16S ribosomal RNA". It matches the Rfam family "Bacterial small subunit ribosomal RNA", at positions 28 to 507 of the family's 1533-position model. The record is from RNAcentral.
GAUGAACGCUGGCGGCGUGCUUAACACAUGCAAGUCGAACGAAGCAUUUAAGACAGAUUACUUCGGUUUGCAGUCUUUUAUGACUGAGUGGCGGACGGGUGAGUAACGCGUGGGUAACCUGCCUCAUACAGGGGGAUAGCAGCUGGAAACGGCUGGUAAUACCGCAUAAGCGCACAGUACCACAUGGUACAGUGUGAAAAACUCCGGUGGUAUGAGAUGGACCCGCGUCUGAUUAGCUUGUUGGCGGGGUAACGGCCCACCAAGGCGACGAUCAGUAGCCGACCUGAGAGGGUGACCGGCCACAUUGGGACUGAGACACGGCCCAGACUCCUACGGGAGGCAGCAGUGGGGAAUAUUGCACAAUGGAGGAAACUCUGAUGCAGCGACGCCGCGUGAGUGAAGAAGUAGUUCGCUAUGUAAAGCUCUAUCAGCAGGGAAGAUAGUGACGGUACCUGACUAAGAAGCUCCGGCUAAAUACGUG